ACAAUCCGCCCCUUAUAAGGUGCUCAACACGAGUGAAACGGGAAGCAGGUUCAAAUCCUGCGCUGCCCCUGCAACGGUAAGCAAGUGGAAACACACACCAAGCCACUGUCUGAAAUAAGACGGGAAGGCGGUGUGCUAAUCUGUCGGUUUUUUGAAAAACAGAUGGUGAUACUUGCAAGCCCGGAGACCGGCCUUAAACCUUUGCCACAG
Molecule: non-coding RNA, 210 nt
Filed under: Janthinobacterium sp.
Lineage: Bacteria; Pseudomonadati; Pseudomonadota; Betaproteobacteria; Burkholderiales; Oxalobacteraceae
Source: RNAcentral